AGUGAACGCUGGCGGUAGGCCUAACACAUGCCAGUCGAACGCCAGCACAGUAAGAGCUUGCUCUUACGGGUGUCGAGUGGCGGACGGGUGAGGAAUACAUCGGAAUCUACUUUUUCGUGGGGGAUAACGUAGGGAAACUUACGCUAAUACCGCAUACGACCUACGGGUGAAAUCAGGUGAUCUUCGGACCUUGCUCGAUUCAAUAAGGCGAUGUCGGAUUAGCUAGUUGGCGGGGUAAAGGCCCACCAAGGCGACGAUCCGUAGCUGGUCUGAGAGGAUGAUCAGCCACACUGGAACUGAGACACGGUCCAGACUCCUACGGGAGGCAGCAGUGGGGAAUAUUGGACAAUGGGCGCAAGCCUGAUCCAGCAAUACCGCGUGGGUGAAGAAGGCUUUCGGGUUGUAAAGCCCUUUUGUUGGGAAAGAAAAGCAGCAGGUGAAUACCCCGCUGUUCGGACGGUACCCAAAGAAUAAGCACCGGCUAACUUAGUG
RNAcentral lists this ribosomal RNA (492 nucleotides) under uncultured bacterium. RNAcentral describes it as "partial 16S ribosomal RNA". It matches the Rfam family "Bacterial small subunit ribosomal RNA", at positions 29 to 507 of the family's 1533-position model. The record is from RNAcentral.